This 505-nucleotide ribosomal RNA is filed under the name uncultured bacterium. RNAcentral's name for it is "bacterial SSU rRNA". It matches the Rfam family "Bacterial small subunit ribosomal RNA", at positions 791 to 1304 of the family's 1533-position model. The record is from RNAcentral.
UAGUCCACGCCGUAAACGAUGGUCACUAGUUGUUGGGGUUUACCUCAGUGACUAAGCGAAAGUGAUAAGUGACCCACCUGGGGAGUACGUUCGCAAGAAUGAAACUCAAAGGAAUUGACGGGGGCCCGCACAAGCGGUGGAGCAUGUGGUUUAAUUCGAUGAUACGCGAGGAACCUUACCAGGGCUUAAAUGUAAGUUGCAUUAGUUAGAGAUAGCUAUUUCUUCGGACUACUUACAAGGUGCUGCAUGGUUGUCGUCAGCUCGUGCCGUGAGGUGUCAGGUUAAGUCCUAUAACGAGCGCAACCCCUAUCGUUAGUUGCUAACAGGUUAAGCUGAGGACUCUAGCGAGACUGCCGGUGCAAACCGAGAGGAAGGUGGGGAUGACGUCAAAUCAUCGCGGCCCUUACGUCCUGGGCCACACACGUGCUACAAUGGUAGGGACAGAGAGCAGCCACAACGCGAGUUGGAGCGAAUCUAUAAACCCUAUCACAGUUCGGAUCGGAGU